Molecule: ribosomal RNA, 253 nt
Filed under: uncultured bacterium
Lineage: Bacteria
Description: partial 16S ribosomal RNA
Rfam family: Bacterial small subunit ribosomal RNA
Source: RNAcentral
UACAGAGGGUGCAAGCGUUGUUCGGAAUUACUGGGCGUAAAGGGCCAGUAGGCGGCCAACUAAGUCACACGUGAAAUCCCCGGGCUUAACCCGGGAACUGCGUGUGAUACUGGAUGGCUUGAAUUCGGGAGAGGGAUGCAGAAUUCCAGGUGUAGCGGUGAAAUGCGUAGAUAUCUGGAGGAAUACCGGUGGCGAAGGCGGCAUCCUGGACCGACAUUGACGCUGAACGGCGAAAGCUAGGGGAGCAAACAGG